GUCGAGGGGUAUAGGUUUUCGGACCUAGAGACCGGCGCACGGGUGCGUAACGCGUAUGCAAUCUACCUUUUACAGAGGGAUAGCCCAGAGAAAUUUGGAUUAAUACCUCAUAGUAUUAUUGAAUGGCAUCAUUUAAUAAUUAAAGUCACAACGGUAAAAGAUGAGCAUGCGUCCCAUUAGCUUGUUGGUAAGGUAACGGCUUACCAAGGCAACGAUGGGUAGGGGUCCUGAGAGGGAGAUCCCCCACACUGGUACUGAGACACGGACCAGACUCCUACGGGAGGCAGCAGUGAGGAAUAUUGGUCAAUGGGCGCAAGCCUGAACCAGCCAUGCCGCGUGCAGGAUGAAGCAUCUAUGGUGUGUAAACUGCUUUUGUACGAGAAGAAACACUCCUACGUGUAGGAGCUUGACGGUAUCGUAAGAAUAAGGACCGGCUAACUCCGUGCCAGCAGCCGCGGUAAUACGGAGGGUCCAAGCGUUAUCCGGAAUCAUUGGGUUUAAAGGGUCCGUAGGCGGUUUUGUAAGUCAGUGGUGAAAGCCCAUCGCUCAACGGUGGAACGGCCAUUGAUACUGCAAGACUUGAAUUAUUGGGAAGUAACUAGAAUAUGUAGUGUAGCGGUGAAAUGCUUAGAGAUUACAUGGAAUACCAAUUGCGAAGGCAGGUUACUACCAAUAUAUUGACGCUGAUGGACGAAAGCGUGGGGAGCGAACAGGAUUAGAUACCCUGGUAGUC
This 733-nucleotide ribosomal RNA is filed under the name uncultured Bacteroidota bacterium. RNAcentral's name for it is "bacterial SSU rRNA". It matches the Rfam family "Bacterial small subunit ribosomal RNA", at positions 61 to 795 of the family's 1533-position model. The record is from RNAcentral. Lineage: Bacteria; Pseudomonadati; Bacteroidota.